GAGGUAGAGCACUGGAUGGGCUAGGGGUCUUACCAGAUUACCAAACCCAACCAAACUCCUAAUGCCUCGACAUUUACUCCGGGAGUCAGGCUGUGGGAGCUAAGUUCCAUGGCCAAAAGGGGAAAGAGCCCAGACCGCCAGCUAAGGUCCCUAAGUCGUUGCUAAGUGGUAAAGGAUGUGGAAGCACACAGACAACCAGGAGGUUGGCUUAGAAGCAGCCAUCCUUUAAAGAAAGCGUAAUAGCUCACUGGUCAAGUGAGUCCGCGCCGAAAAUUUAACGGGGCUAAAGUAACGCACCGAAGCUGCGGGUUGAUUUUAUCAGCGGUAGGCGAGCAUUGUCACAACUGUGAAGCCAGACGGUAACGACUGGUGGAGUGGUGACAAGAGCGAAUGCAGGCUUGAGUAGCGAUAAACCGAGCGAGAAACUCGGUCGCCGUAAGCCCAAGGGUUCCUGGGGUCAAAGUUAAUCUUCCAGGGUUAGUCGGUUCCUAAGCCGAGGCCGAAAGGCGUAGGUAAUGGAAAGCAGGUU
RNAcentral lists this ribosomal RNA (529 nucleotides) under uncultured bacterium. RNAcentral's name for it is "bacterial LSU rRNA". It matches the Rfam family "Bacterial large subunit ribosomal RNA", at positions 899 to 1431 of the family's 2925-position model. The record is from RNAcentral.